Molecule: ribosomal RNA, 468 nt
Filed under: uncultured bacterium
Lineage: Bacteria
Description: partial 16S ribosomal RNA
Rfam family: Bacterial small subunit ribosomal RNA
Source: RNAcentral
GACGAACGCUGGCGGCGUGCUUAACACAUGCAAGUCGAACGGACAGGCCCUGCUUUUGUGGGGUGCUCGAGUGGCGAACGGGUGAGUAACACGUGAGUAACCUGCCCUUGACUUUCGGAUAACUUCAGGAAACUGGGGCUCAUACCGGAUAGGAGCUCCUGCUGCAUGGUGUGGGUUGGAAAAUUUCGGCGGUUCGGGAUGGACUCGCGGCUUAUCCGCUUGUUGGUGGGGUAGUGGCUUACCAAGGCUUUGACGGGUAGCCGGCCUGAGAGGGUGACCGGCCACAUUGGGACUGAGAGACGGACCAGAAGGCUACGGGAGGCAGCAGUGGGGAAUAUUGCACAAUGGGCGGAAGCCUGAUGCAGCAACGCCGCGUGCGGGAUGACGGCCUUCGGGGUGUAAACCGCUGUCGCCUGUGACGAAGCGUGAGUGACGGUAAUGGGUAAAGAAGCACCGGCUAACUACGUG